AACGGCCGUACCAUGCUGAAUAUACCGGUUCUCGUUAGAUCACCGAAGUCAAGCAUCAUUGGGCGCGGUCAGUACUUGGGUGGGUGACCACCUGGGGAACACCGCGUGCCGUU
This 113-nucleotide ribosomal RNA is filed under the name Caerostris darwini. The record is from RNAcentral. Lineage: Eukaryota; Metazoa; Arthropoda; Arachnida; Araneae; Araneidae.